Molecule: non-coding RNA, 76 nt
Organism: Podarcis lilfordi (Lilford's wall lizard)
Lineage: Eukaryota; Metazoa; Chordata; Lepidosauria; Squamata; Lacertidae
Source: the annotation of a GenBank genome assembly
UGGGACAAAGCUCAGUUGGUACAGCAUGAGACUCCUAACCUCAGGGUCGUAGGUUCGAGCCCCACAGUGGGCAAAA